This 232-nucleotide ribosomal RNA is filed under the name uncultured bacterium. Its description in RNAcentral is "partial 16S ribosomal RNA". It matches the Rfam family "Bacterial small subunit ribosomal RNA", at positions 118 to 347 of the family's 1533-position model. The record is from RNAcentral.
UGAGCAACCUACCCUUGACUCUGGAAUAACAGUUGGAAACAGCUGCUAAUACCGGAUAUGACCUCUGACGACAUCGUCUGGAGGUGGAAAGCUCCGGCGGUCAAGGAUGGGCUCGCGGCCUAUCAGCUUGUUGGUGAGGUAACGGCUCACCAAGGCUUCGACGGGUAGCCGGCCUGAGAGGGCGACCGGCCACACUGGGACUGAGAUACGGCCCAGACUCCUACGGGAGCAG